This 473-nucleotide ribosomal RNA is filed under the name uncultured bacterium. RNAcentral's name for it is "bacterial SSU rRNA". It matches the Rfam family "Bacterial small subunit ribosomal RNA", at positions 355 to 825 of the family's 1533-position model. The record is from RNAcentral.
UGGGGAAUUUUGGACAAUGGGCGCAAGCCUGAUCCAGCCAUACCGCGUGAGUGAAGAAGGCCUUCGGGUUGUAAAGCUCUUUCAGACGGAAAGAAACGGUUACGGCUAAUACCCGUGACUAAUGACGGUACCGUAAGAAGAAGCACCGGCUAACUACGUGCCAGCAGCCGCGGUAAUACGUAGGGUGCGAGCGUUAAUCGGAAUUACUGGGCGUAAAGCGCACGUAGGCGGUUUUUUAAGUCAGAUGUGAAAGCCCCGGGCUCAACCUGGGAAUUGCAUUUGAAACUGGAAAACUAGAGUGUGUGAGAGGGGGGUAGAAUUCCAAGUGUAGCGGUGAAAUGCGUAGAGAUUUGGAGGAAUACCAGUGGCGAAGGCGGCCCCCUGGCACAACACUGACGCUCAGGUGCGAAAGCGUGGGGAGCAAACAGGAUUAGAUACCCCGGUAGUCCCGUGAGCGGGCUGGCAAGGCGCAU